This 214-nucleotide unclassified non-coding RNA is filed under the name Hevea brasiliensis (rubber tree). The record is from RNAcentral. Lineage: Eukaryota; Viridiplantae; Streptophyta; Magnoliopsida; Malpighiales; Euphorbiaceae.
CAUAAUCGCAAACACGAAAAAGUCCGUAGCAAAAAUUUUUAUCAUUGCACAAGACCUGCAAAAUAACUAAUUUCAUGGUACAUAUUUCUGCAGUACAUUCAACUGGUGAAACUCUCCCAUUCAAAAUGUUAAAAUCCUCCCGAUGCCAUAAAAGUUGGAAGGUUAGAAAACUAAUUGGCAUCAGGAUAAAAUGCAUUUUCUCUACAAGUACGAA